This 2851-nucleotide long non-coding RNA is filed under the name Mus musculus (house mouse). RNAcentral's name for it is "predicted gene, 31819". The record is from RNAcentral. Lineage: Eukaryota; Metazoa; Chordata; Mammalia; Rodentia; Muridae.
AAAAGAAGCCACUGUAGGCCUUCUGUUGAGCAGAGUUUCGAGUGUUGCUCCGAGUUCUCAUACCAGCAAUGAAAUUAAGAAGCUGGAGGAGAGGAUAUCCUUCUGAAAUCAGCCCUAAUGACACAGAUUUGCACCUGAUGUUGACUCUAAGGAACCCCCUUUACUGGACCUCCAGACAGCUCAUUUGUUAAAGGGGUAAAGAGAUGAUCCAAUAUGGACAUUGGAUGGGAUAGUUUCAUGGGCAAGCAUCGGUCAGUCAAAGUAACCAAUCCCCACCCAGAUUGCAGCUCCUGAUUCACUAAAUACACAAACCAAAGGACCACCUUUCUUCACGGUUGUUUAGCAGCUCGUUUCCAAUUUCUCAUUCCUCGUCUUCCCAUCAGUUUUUUUACUGAGCACAGAAGACGCAGAUAUGAAUUGGAUCUUCUACUCAAUUCUCCUUACCAGUUCCCAGAAUCCUGCUCCUGUUUUUUAACACAGAGAAUUUGAAAGUCACUUGUGCAGUUAAGUCCAUGUAACACAGUUGGCACCUGUUAAAGCAUCCUAUACCUCCCUCUGUGGCCGCUUCUUGGUCUACAAAUUCAGUUUUAUUUAAGUUGGCUAACUCAGGUUCAUCUCUGAUCAUCUUGAAAGAAUCAUUCUCUUCUUCUUCCAGUGAGACGUCCCCGACUCUCUUAGGAUGUCAUAGCUAUCAUUACAGGUUCAGAGGUUCAGUCCAUUAUCAUCAAGAUGGGAGCAUGGCAGCAUCCAGACAGGCAUGGUGCAGACAGAGCUGAGAGGUCUACGUCUUCAUCGAAAGGCUGCUACUGGAAGACUGACUUCCAGGCAACUAGGGUCUGGAUCUUAUGCCCACACCCACAGUGACACACCCAUUCCAACCAGGUCACACCUAUUCCAACAAGGCCACACCUCCAGAUGGUGCCACUCUCUGGUCCAAGGAUAUAAAACCAUCACACACAUUUUGGUCUUUAUGUGGCUUCAUGGCUAUGAUAUGUCAUUCUAUCACUCCACUGGGUGCAUUCUUCUCAAGCCAACACUUUUUAUUGUUCUAUUAACAAAGACCAACAGGAAUAAUUUUAUUUCAUAGGGUAGAUCCAGAAAUGUCUAUUUACUAUUGUUCUUUCUAACAGCAUCAUGUAUGUAAUUCUAUGUCACAUGUAGUAUCAUGACUUCUGUCAUGAGAUAGCACGUUCUCCCUGAACUCCAAUCAUUGAGUUAAUGAGCUUUGUGUCAUGGUAACAAAUAAUAGAAGAUUAAUUUCUAACAAGAAAAUAUUUAUUUUGGAUUGGAUAUAAGGGGCUACAGUUCAUAGUUCAUGGCUCCCUUGCUUUGGGGCCUUUUUAGGGGAAUCAUGUCAUGGUGGGAAGUCCAUGAGAGAACGAAAGCAUUCACCUCAUGACUAGAAUAUAAAAGAGAAAAAGGAAGGACUGGGGCUCUGCUAUCUCCUUCAAGCCUAUGUCCCCCAAUUCCAUGAAGUUAAAUAUUAGACUAUUCUAUGUUACUGAAUUAAUUGGGAAACGGAGAAAAUUGGGAAACUAUAGGUUUUGAAUUGAUCACAGAACCCCUAAAAUAGAAACACUUCUCUGUACUAUGUCUGUCAUGUAAGCGGCUCUGAUCAUUAUAUCCAGUACUGACUGAGGAGACUGAGGGAGACACUUUUGGAUGGCUCCCAUAAGCAAAUCACAUUGCAUACCAGCAGUGUUUUGAAUUCAAAUUUGCUAAUAAUCGCUGCAGAUAAUUGUUAUAAUUUUGAGAAAUUGCUGCUGGCUUGUUAUCAGGCCCUAAAAGAGAACCAUUGGCUGUGGAAGGGAGAAUUUUCCUGAGUUAAUGAGCAUCAUCUAUAUCAUCUAUAUAUUUGUGAAGACAGGCGUUGUUCUUUAUCAUAAUAUGGAAGAGGCAUACAGAGUACUGAACUGAGCUCUGUGCUACACAGGCAAUCCUGUUUUAUCUAAACUGAUCUGACUAUCACAUUGCUGAGUGGCCAACCUGACAACAGGAGAGGCCAACACAAAACACAUGCUGGAUUCCAAUCUUUCGAGGGGUCCCUCAGCUGUCUGAUGGCACAUUAACUUUAUUAUACAAUCUGCAUAGCCAGGGGCAACACCUUGUUACUAUUGAAAAAGCAACUUACUUUGGGGUAUGGAAAUUUCUAUCUCAGUUCUUAGAGCUUCUGCCUAAACCCCCAUCCACAGAUUUACUGAACACCGAUUAAUAUUAUGAAAUUCUAUUGUUAUGAAAUUCUAUUGUUCUAAUGAAGGGACCUAAUAUGCUGCAUAAAGUGCAACUGAGUCCAUUCUUAGAGAAUAAUUUAUUACUCUCAUCAAGUUCAUUUUCAGUGUGAAGCAGCUGAUCUGGAAGAAUGAUUUUCUGGCAACUCAAGGAUGUGCCAGCUAGCUGUGGGACUUACUAUUCCAUAUAUGAUAUUAUUAUAGACCAGAUUAUAGAUUUCACGUACGAUGCUUUUUAUCCCAUAACCAAAAUUCAUGAGCCUGAGAACCACAUAGAAGAGAGUGUUACAAUUAGAACUCUGAGCCCAAAGACUAGAGUUUCCUUCCUUUCCCAACACAUUAGAUUUUGCUAGUCUUAUGUUCGCUAAGACCAAAACAGUAGUCAGAGAAGAAAAUGCUGCAUAACAUUUUUUUUGGCCAGGAAAUGUAUAUAUAUAUAUAUAUAUAUAUAUAUAUAUAUCAAUUUUUAUCACAUAGUGAUUCACCCUUUCUAAGUAAACAUUUGAAACAUCUCUAUUGAAUUAAUGAAUUUACAAAAUAGAGUCAAAGAAAUCUGAGCCUAACUUUAAAAAUAAUGCUUAAUAUAUUCUAUGGAGGUGAAAAAUACAGGAAAUAUAGUAGGG